RNAcentral lists this ribosomal RNA (140 nucleotides) under uncultured bacterium. RNAcentral describes it as "partial 16S ribosomal RNA". It matches the Rfam family "Bacterial small subunit ribosomal RNA", at positions 1360 to 1500 of the family's 1533-position model. The record is from RNAcentral.
CGGUGAAUACGUUCCCGGGUCUUGUACACACCGCCCGUCACACCAUGGGAGUCGGAAUGCCCGAAGUCUGUGACCCAACCGUAAGGAGGGAGCAGCCGAAGGCAGGUCGGAUGACUGGGGUGAAGUCGUAACAAGGUAUC